GGAUUCAAAAUGUAAAUUGAGAUAGUCGGAAGCAUAUCCGUAUCUCUAUAUUAUUGAUUCCUUUGGGGACGCCCUAAGGAUAAUUGACCAGUUGGGCCCGGGGCUGUUCGAAAAAGACUGCUGGGCGGUAUUGGGCCGACGGUGGAUGGUCUCUUCGACAGUACCCAUAUUGGAUCUAGACCAUUGGCAUAGUUGGAGGUUAACUGUGCUGAUGGAUGGAUCGGCAUGCGCCCGGGCAUGCCUAUUGAUCGAUUAGCAGGGUAGCUCCCUGAUCGGUGUUAUAAGGUAGUUACGGCUAAGGGAGUCACAAGGCAGGUACAGGUACAUGAACAAAUUGUUACCAUGGGAAUCUCCAUGGUCUCAUAUUUGAUAUCCGAAAUUGUUAUCUUGGGAAUCUCCACGAAAUUCAUAAUUGAUAUCCGGGAAUUACCCGUUGAAUAUUGUUCUUUACCUG
RNAcentral lists this long non-coding RNA (454 nucleotides) under Erythranthe guttata (spotted monkey flower). RNAcentral describes it as "long non-coding RNA (EGUT_LNC000764)". Lineage: Eukaryota; Viridiplantae; Streptophyta; Magnoliopsida; Lamiales; Phrymaceae. The record is from RNAcentral.